Molecule: long non-coding RNA, 569 nt
Organism: Arvicola amphibius (Eurasian water vole)
Lineage: Eukaryota; Metazoa; Chordata; Mammalia; Rodentia; Cricetidae
Exons: 2
Source: RefSeq, a predicted model, not a curated record
GUCGCAACCUCACUCGUAGCUUUGCACCUGGACGGCAUACUAGGAUCUAGGGAUAAAAGGGCUGAGCAUCCAAAGGCGGGACGCUGCAUUCCUCAGUGUGCUCUCACCAACACUAAACACAUCGGAACCUUUAACGAGCAGAAGACCACGCUGGACCACUGGACCGGUGGUGAGGAAAUCGAAUUUGAACACGCCUUUAGCUACCUGUGUGCCUCCAAGGAUUAAUAUCAGGAAAGCCCUCUUCAGGCGGCUCCGACAGGUGCUGAAUGGAAGAAGACGCCUCACCCACCCCCAAGCUAGCACAGCUUAAGUGUGUUGGCUUCACAUACAUGCUGGUCCAGCUUAUAUGUCUUCUAGUAAUAUCCAUUUUCCUCUCCCACGAGUUGUGGGAGAUGGCUCUCCGCUAGAUAGUGCCGAGAUAUGUGACCUUGGGAAGGCCCUUCACUUUCUCUGGCCUCAGUUUCUUGAUACUGAGUAUCAAGUAAAAAGUAGAUACAAUUUUAUAUCUCUGAGUUUUAUGUCCCUUUCUGAAGACAUGGUAAGAAAUAAAAAUCUCAGCGGUAACACCA